ACAGAGGAGGGAGUCCCUCCCUCUAAAACCACUCUGUGUGGGGAAGAUGAGAGCCAGAGCAAAGGUCAGAGGAUCCAUCAGAGACUCAAACCAGAACCAGAACCAGAACCAGAACCCAGCUGUGUGUCCUUUAAGAGCGACAAGUCAAGGGUCAGUUCAUUGACUUUAAAUCUCCUGGAUCUCCACCAUCAGAGAGAGUGGACCAGCAGUUCUCAGAGGUUCCCAGUGGUCCAUAUGACCAGCAUGAUCGAAUACAUCUGGACUCCAUAUUUACGG
Molecule: long non-coding RNA, 276 nt
Organism: Poeciliopsis prolifica (blackstripe livebearer)
Lineage: Eukaryota; Metazoa; Chordata; Actinopteri; Cyprinodontiformes; Poeciliidae
Exons: 3
Source: RefSeq, a predicted model, not a curated record